UGCGGAGGUCAUUACCGAGUUGAUUCGGGCUCCGUCCCGAUCCUCCCACCCUUUGUAUACCUACCUCUGUUGCUUUGGCGGCCGCGGUCUUCCGCGGCCGCCCCCCGAUUUUGGGGGGUGGCUAGUGCCCGCCAGAGGACUAUCAAACUCCAGUCAGUAAACGUUGCAGUCUGAAAAAAAUAUUAAAUAAACUAAAACUUUCAACAACGGAUCUCUUGGUUCUGGCAUCGAUGAAGAACGCAGCGAAAUGCGAUAAUUAAUGUGGAUUGCAGAAUUCAGUGAAUCAUCGAAUCUUUGAACGCACAUUGCGCCCCUUGGUAUUCCGGGGGGCAUGCCUGUUCGAGCGUCAUUUCAACCCUCAAGCUCUGCUUGGUAUUGGGCACCUGCCUUUGCGGGCGCGCCUCAAAGACCUCGGCGGUGGCGUCUUGCCUCAAGCUUAGUAGAAUACACCUCGCUUCGGAGGGUAAGGCGUCGCCCGCC
This 480-nucleotide unclassified non-coding RNA is filed under the name Macrophomina phaseolina. RNAcentral's name for it is "partial contains 18S rRNA, ITS1, 5.8S rRNA, ITS2, and 28S rRNA". The stretch from base 196 to 349 matches the Rfam family "5.8S ribosomal RNA". Lineage: Eukaryota; Fungi; Ascomycota; Dothideomycetes; Botryosphaeriales; Botryosphaeriaceae. The record is from RNAcentral.